Molecule: ribosomal RNA, 468 nt
Filed under: uncultured bacterium
Lineage: Bacteria
Description: partial 16S ribosomal RNA
Rfam family: Bacterial small subunit ribosomal RNA
Source: RNAcentral
GACGAACGCUGGCGGCGUGCUUAACACAUGCAAGUCGAACGGAAAGGCCCUGCUUUUGUGGGGUGCUCGAGGGGCGAACGGGUGAGUAACACGGGAGUAACCUGCCCUUGACUUUGGGAUAACUUCAGGAAACUGCGGCUAAUACAGGCGAGGAGCUCCUGCUGCAGGGUGGGGGUUGGAAAGCAUCGGCGGAUGGGGAUAGACUCCGGGCUUAUUAGCUGGUUGGUGGGGUAGUGGCUUACCAAGGCUUUGACGGAUAGCCGGCCUGGGAGGGGGGCCAGCCACAAUGGGACUGAGAGACGGCGCAGUGUCCUACGGUAGGCAGCAGUGGGGAAUAUUGCCCAAUGGGCGGGAGCCUGUUGCAGAAACGCCGCGUGCGGGAUGACCGCCUUCUGGUUGUAAACCGCUUUCGCUUGUUACGAAGCUUUAGUGACGUUACUGAGUAAAUAAGCACCGGCUAACUACGUG